GUGCUUGCUUUGGCAGCACAUAUACCAAAAUCAGAGCAAUAAGGAGAAGAUUAGCAUGGCCAGUGUGCAAGGAUGACAUGCAAAUUUGUGAAGCGUUCCAUGACAAC
Small nuclear RNA from Cynocephalus volans (Philippine flying lemur), 107 nucleotides. The record is from RefSeq and is a predicted model, not a curated record. NCBI's taxonomy places the organism in Eukaryota, Metazoa, Chordata, Mammalia, Dermoptera, Cynocephalidae.